Petromyzon marinus (sea lamprey) is the source of this 688-nucleotide non-coding RNA. Lineage: Eukaryota; Metazoa; Chordata; Hyperoartia; Petromyzontiformes; Petromyzontidae. The record is from RefSeq and is a predicted model, not a curated record.
GUGUGUUUGUGUGCUAAGACGAACAUACCCCACGUGUCGACUAAACAGACUGAAGGAGCAAGUGCUGUUCGCCAGUAGCACCUAUGGAGGCCGGCACGGUACAAGAUGGGGGGCGUCCGUAACGUCCAUUGGAACCUGCCUCCGCUGGCGAACAACAUCGAUGACCGCGAAUCGACAUUCGAACACACAGCGGCAUCGCCUUCGUCGCCACCGCGGCGUUGGGAAGCGCCCGAGGGCGGUCAGAAGGAGCGCGCCCGGACCACGUGUCGCCCGCGCCACGUGUCGCACGCACCACGUGUCGCCCGCACCACGCGUCUCCCUCUUCACGCGUCCUCCCCUCCUGCCUCUCUCGCUCUCAACUCGAGUCCGCCGGCGUUCGUCUGCCAAUCCCGGCCGGUUAAAGGUGGAAGAAGCCUCGGAGCCCAGGGGUGGUUCAACAAACAAACAACAACAACAAUCAUCCGCGUUUACUGAGCAGCAUGCGGCUCUUUUGAGGGCCGCUUCGUGACGUUGUUCGCGUGCAUUUUGCGGCUCUUGAAAUAUUUAUUAUAUAGAUGUAUUUUUUUUUUACCAAAUUUGAAGAAAUGAAAGUUUCUCCUUGUUAUUGUGGCUGCGCGCCUCCUUCUCCAUAACCCUUUGUGAACGCUGGCUCGCCGUUGUCCGCGAUUAAAGAGUGUCCAAAGUUUAA